AGAUGGUCUAAUGGUGACAGACGAUGACCUUCAACCGGAUGAUGCUGGUUCUUGCCCCGACUGGAUAGCAGAGGAACAGGAAGACAUCAAGUCAAGUUGAUUCUACCAGCAGACACUGAAAGGACUCUGAUAGUUCGGUGUCUCAUGUUCACUGUGAGGAUCUUCUGAGUGAAGCGACCAGCAGAAAAAACCUCAUCUGGAUGUGAAGGAGACUGAAUGGACGACAUCCUCAGUGAACCACUUCCUGUUUAGCUUUCACUUACAGAAGAGUGAAAGUAGCAGUUCCUCCUGAAGGUCAGAGAUUGCAGCAUCUGAGGGCCUCUUCAAAAGAAGACGUAGUUGAUGAAGGCGUUCUGGAGCAGGACCAGAAAGACCACGACCAAGCAGCCUUGAGAUCUUAGACAGCGUCUCCCUGAGUUCUUCUGGACCAGCUCAGCUUCCCCUCAGAAGAAGUGGCGCCACCUGCCAGAUGAAGGAGCCUUUUGAGAGGCAGCUGGCAUCGUGAUUGGACUGUACUUUGGUCUGUUCCAAUCCAGCUUCAGCUCCAGAGACGGCAGGCGGGACGAGUCAACGGAGGCCUGGUGGACGAAGGCAUGCAGCUGAGUACAAUCCAGAAAGAGACAUACAUUGUAGAAUUGUAGUAAUUGUGGGCUGACUGAUUUACUGAUUAUCAGUAUUUUAUUUUUUACCGGUUUACGAUAAUAAAUAAAU
Amphiprion ocellaris (clown anemonefish) is the source of this 711-nucleotide long non-coding RNA. NCBI's taxonomy places the organism in Eukaryota, Metazoa, Chordata, Actinopteri, Pomacentridae. The record is from Ensembl.